AUAUAUAUGUAGCUGUCUCGAUAGUUUAACGUCAGACCCGGAAAAUAAUUUAAUAAAGGCUCAUAAUAAAACUGACGAGUUUCUCUUUUUAAAGUGCAAGCCUUUGGAAAAGGUUGUUAAGUGCACUUUUGACUGGUGUUAUUCAAGUGAGUUUUAUGGCUAUGAAACUGAAACACUUUGCGUCUUUUCUAUGAAAAGAGUUA
This is a non-coding RNA of Schizosaccharomyces pombe (fission yeast), 203 nucleotides long. The record is from the annotation of a GenBank genome assembly. NCBI's taxonomy places the organism in Eukaryota, Fungi, Ascomycota, Schizosaccharomycetes, Schizosaccharomycetales, Schizosaccharomycetaceae.